Molecule: ribosomal RNA, 164 nt
Filed under: Hoya carnosa (porcelain flower)
Lineage: Eukaryota; Viridiplantae; Streptophyta; Magnoliopsida; Gentianales; Apocynaceae
Description: 5.8S ribosomal RNA
Rfam family: 5.8S ribosomal RNA
About the family: 5.8S ribosomal RNA (5.8S rRNA) is a component of the large subunit of the eukaryotic ribosome. It is transcribed by RNA polymerase I as part of the 45S precursor that also contains 18S and 28S rRNA.
Source: RNAcentral
ACACGACUCUCGGCAACGGAUAUCUAGGCUCUCGCAUCGAUGAAGAACGUAGCAAACUGCGAUACUUGGUGUGAAUUGCAGAAUCCCGUGAACCAUCGAGUCUUUGAACGCAAGUUGCGCCCGAAGCCAUUAGGCCGAGGGCACGUCUGCCUGGGCGUCACGCA